RNAcentral lists this transfer RNA (95 nucleotides) under Thermofilum sp. Its description in RNAcentral is "tRNA-Glu". The stretch from base 29 to 92 matches the Rfam family "tRNA". From Rfam's summary of the family: Transfer RNA (tRNA) molecules are approximately 80 nucleotides in length. Their secondary structure includes four short double-helical elements and three loops (D, anti-codon, and T loops). Lineage: Archaea; Thermoproteati; Thermoproteota; Thermoprotei; Thermofilales; Thermofilaceae. The record is from RNAcentral.
GCCCCGGUCGUCUAGCCCGGCCACCCUUGCCCGGGCCGCGAGGAUCCCAGUCUUUCGAACUGGGGACCCGGGUUCAAAUCCCGGCCGGGGCACCA